UAUUAAAAAUUAACCGAUAAUUGUAGAAAUAUAAGAAUGAAAUCGAAAUUAUCAUGACAGUAAUCAAAUCUCGUAACUUUUGAAGAUGGCAAUUUGAAAUGUCAAAGUAAUUUGUUUGAAAACUGUCGGAUGAAGAGCAAAACAUCCACUACGAAGAGCAAGAAAAAAUGGUCGAGUGUAAUUAAUCAAUAAGACAUAAGACUCAGAAACGACAAGACAAAUUCCUUAAUUUUGGUUAUUUAAAAUGGCAAUUGAAAGAUUUAUAUACAAGAAGAAAAACAUGAAAUUUGAGCACUAAUUAUACAUGCAAGAAUUAAAAACAUACAACUUAAGAACUCAUUGUAGCCCCAUUUAUUAUGAUUCUGACUUGGGGUCUUUUCAAAUUAUAAGGAUGAGACAUUUGUAUUGUGAAAGGCAUUUGAAUUGUGCAAUUCAGUGAAACAGUAAUGGUAUUAUUAUACCUUCUUCUCACCUACACGACUUUCAAAAUUGUGAGCACUUGUUUAAUGUACGAUUUACUAUUAGAUAAAUUAGGCGAUAAUGACUUUAAAAAAUGAAGAAAAGAUGGUUUAUUGAUUCCCAAAAACAAAAAAAAUCUUACAAUAUGACUGUAUUGUAGGUCUUUACGUUAUCAGUGUUAAACCUUAUUAAACAUAAGGCUUUUUGGUAGGUCGUUACGUUUCAGUGAUUGCAACUAGUAUUGUUACUACUCAUUCUACAUUUAAUUGUCUGUACCAUUUGCAAUAAUAAUGGGGGGGGGAAGAUUUAGAUGUAAAACACAAUAAUUUGUCAUGAAAUUUGAAAAAUACAACAAAUAGACGAGCGUUGUAAAACCAAUAAAAGAAUGCAACAAUAAAAUUAAUUUUGAGAAAUCGGUACCGUGAUAUUUCCUAUUAAUCUCAUAAAUUCAAUAAACUGCAGAAAGAAUUAAGAUAACUUUUGUGAAAACUUUGUGCACUUUAUUUGGAGAUAAAACUUGGUGGAGAAAACAAA
Non-coding RNA from Styela clava, 993 nucleotides. The record is from RefSeq and is a predicted model, not a curated record. NCBI's taxonomy places the organism in Eukaryota, Metazoa, Chordata, Ascidiacea, Stolidobranchia, Styelidae.